CUCACAGGGAAGAAUUCCUUCCCAAUAUCCCAUCUAACUCUGUCCUCUGGCAGUGGGAAGCCAUUCCCCUUGUCCUGCCUCUCCAUCCCUUUUCCAAAGUCCCUCUCCAGGUG
Long non-coding RNA from Corapipo altera (White-ruffed manakin), 113 nucleotides. RefSeq lists it as uncharacterized. Lineage: Eukaryota; Metazoa; Chordata; Aves; Passeriformes; Pipridae. The transcript has 3 exons. The record is from RefSeq and is a predicted model, not a curated record.